UCCCCGCUCACCCUAUGGGGCAGCAAAACUCUAUGCCUAUUGGAUUGUGGUGAACUUCCGUGAGGCGUAUAAUCUCUUUGCAGUGAAUGGCAUUCUCUUCAAUCAUGAGAGUCCCAGAAGAGGAGCUAAUUUCGUUACUCGAAAAAUUAGCCGGUCAGUAGCUAAGAUUUACCUUGGACAACUGGAAUGUUUCAGUUUGGGAAACCUGGAUGCCAAACGAGACUGGGGCCAUGCCAAGGACUAUGUGGAGGCUAUGUGGUUGAUGUUGCAAAAUGAUGAGCCAGAGGACUUCGUUAUAGCUACUGGGGAGGUCCAUAGUGUCCGGGAAUUUGUCGAGAAAUCAUUCUUGCACAUUGGAAAAACCAUUGUGUGGGAAGGAAAGAAUGAAAAUGAAGUGGGCAGAUGUAAAGAGACCGGCAAAGUUCACGUGACUGUGGACCUCAAGUACUACCGGCCAACUGAAGUGAGCUUCAUGAAGAAAAAGUUACUUGUUCCUUAGUACUGCCAGCUGUGUG
This 515-nucleotide small RNA is filed under the name Pongo abelii (Sumatran orangutan). Its description in RNAcentral is "processed transcript". Lineage: Eukaryota; Metazoa; Chordata; Mammalia; Primates; Hominidae. The record is from RNAcentral.